Cyprinodon tularosa is the source of this 614-nucleotide long non-coding RNA. RefSeq lists it as uncharacterized. NCBI's taxonomy places the organism in Eukaryota, Metazoa, Chordata, Actinopteri, Cyprinodontiformes, Cyprinodontidae. The record is from RefSeq and is a predicted model, not a curated record. The transcript has 2 exons.
CUUUCCUGUUGCUUCUGUGUUUUUAAUAGUUUCAAGAGAGAAUUAGGAUUUGAAUUGAGUCACUCAUGUAUGAUGUAUUGAAUAUGUUCUCAGUUAGCAUUGUUCCAACAUGUAAUAUUUAUUUAUUCAGUGGUUUAUUAUUUUCAGAGAAGCAGAAACAGCUUUAUUUUAUGCAUGUGCCAAACUCUGAAACCUGGAAAACAUAUAUCAUUGCAAAUGGUUGACUGUAUGCUGCUGGUGAUUCCUGCAGCCCAGCAGGGAGCAAACCCCUGUAUUGGGCCUCCCAAUGGGAGCACCAGCGGAAAGUGUCAGUCAUAAGACUCUGGCAUCUGCAACCUGAUGGAAGCAAAACACUUAGCUUCUGUUUCUCUACUUUUCCUCACAAAGCCUAUUGCCGAAGGCAUACACAGCUGCAUGGGGACCUCCAGCAGAGUUUAAAACUAAAUGAGGACACUCUGGGCAUCGCCCGCCGGAUCUUGUUGGCAGCCCAGCGGCUGGAUCCUACCUCGUUCUCUGGACACGGGCUGGACUAUUAAACCAGAGUUUCCUGUGAUAGACACCCUAGUCGCUGCUACUCCGAUCAUCUGUUGUUUUAAUAAAAGCUUUUUGAAUUA